Molecule: long non-coding RNA, 380 nt
Filed under: Vigna radiata
Lineage: Eukaryota; Viridiplantae; Streptophyta; Magnoliopsida; Fabales; Fabaceae
Description: long non-coding RNA (VRAD_LNC002314)
Source: RNAcentral
GAAGAUCCUACAGAUAAAAAAAACAUGAAUCAAAAACAUAAAUCUAAAAUAAUCCAAAAGAAAAAUUCUACUAAAAUAGAUUUGGAUCUUAUAAGAGAUCAAUAUCUUAAUAUCAAAGAUUUUGAAUGUCUACCUUCAGGGUUAAAUACCCACUUGCACAAAUCAUCAAACAUUUUUAAAAUAAAGAAAGUCAAACGAAUAUUGCCCAAAUAAACAUUCAAACUACAAGUAUGACUUUGUUUGUUCUUAGAUUGCUUAGACAUGGACAAGCAUGCUAACUCGUGUACAUGUAUUUUCAAACUUCCAUCCUUGUCUAUAGAUUGGUUGGGAAUGGACAAAUAAAUUAACUCGUGUGCAGCUAUUUAUAAGUUUGUGUCCAA